Molecule: long non-coding RNA, 1823 nt
Organism: Oncorhynchus tshawytscha (Chinook salmon)
Lineage: Eukaryota; Metazoa; Chordata; Actinopteri; Salmoniformes; Salmonidae
Source: Ensembl
GAUGGAUUCAUACAAAUGAGGUGAGCUGAUUCACAAUGCUCCUAAAGAGUGACUGAUUCACUGUAGAGAGACUGAGGUACACCACAACACUCCUAAAGAGUGACUGAUUCACUGUAGAGAGACUGAGGUACACCACAACACUCCUAAAGAGUGACUGAUUCACUGUAGAGAGACUGAGGUACACCACAACACUCCUAAAGAGUGACUGAUUCACUGUAGAGAGACUGAGGUACACCACAACACUCCUCAAGAGUGACUGAAUCACUGUAGAGAGACUGAGGUACGCCACAACACUCCUAAAGAGAGACUGAUUCACUGUAGAGAGACUGACAACAAGGACCCAGCUGACACUACAAGGGAAAAGGACAACAAGGAACCCAGCUGACACUACAAGGGUCAAGGACAACAAGGAACCCAGCUGACACUACAAGGGUCAAGGACAACAAGGAACCCAGCUGACACUACAAGGGACAAGGACAACAAUGAACCCAGCGAUUAACAGAAAGCCUUUCCUAAAGAUAAAGGUCUUCAGGCCCGUUUUAAAGGAGCCCUAGAGUCUGUGGUGCCUUCAGGUGGUCCGGGGGGUCAUUCCAGAGACUGGGGGCGGCCGAGCUGAAAGCCUGAUCCCCGAGGAGCGUAGCUUGGUCCUGGGGGCAUGGAGGAGCAGGCUAUGUCUUGAGUGGAGGGUGCGGGUGGGGUUAUGGAAGGAGAGCAGUUCUUUGAGAUAAGCAGGGGCAUUGCCAUGACUACACUGGAAGGUCACCAGGAGGGUUAUGAGACUGGGAGCCAGUGCAGAGAUGCCGGGAUGGGGUUGAAGUCAUGGUGUUUCCUGACUCUCAUCAGGAUCCUGGCAGUACUGUUCUGGAUGUACUGGAGCUUCUGGAGACUCCUACCCGGGAUCCAGGUGAAGACUGUGUUGUAGUCCUGGAGACUCCUGCCAGGGAUCCAGGUGAAGACUGUGUUGUAGUCCUGGAGACUCCUGCCAGGGAUCCAGGUGAAGACUGUGUUGUAGUCGUCCAGCCUUGAGGAGAUAAAGAAAUGGACCAGUUUCUCUGCCUCAGACUGAGUGAGACGGAGUUUGGCAAUGUUCACGAGGUGAUAGAAUUGUUUUAUUUUAUUUAACUUGGCAAGUCAGUUAAGAACAAAUUCUUAUUUUCAAUGACGGCCUAGGAACAGUGGGUUAACUGCCUUGUUCAGGGACAGAACGACAGAUUUGUACCUUGUCUGCUCAGGGAUUUCGAACUUGCAACCUUUCGGUUACUAGUCCACCGCUCUAACCACUAGGCUACGCUGCCACCCCAGAAUGACAAACAGUUGUUUGAUGUGGCUGUCAAAGGUCAGGGAGGAAUCGAUCUUUACAGCUAGACUGGAAACUGAGGGGGAGAGAGGGAUGUUCUGUCCUGCAACUGUCAGGUGUGUUAUCGGUGAGCUGUGUUAUCGGUGAGGUGCGUUAUUGGUGAGGUAUGUUAUCGGUGAGGUGCGUUAUUGGUGAGGUGUGUUAUCGGUGAGGUGCGUUAUUGGUGAGGUGUGUUAUCGGUGAGUGCUGGACCUGGUGUGUGAUUGGUGAGGUGUGUUAUUGGUGAGGUGUGUUAUUGGUGAGGUGUGUUAUUGGUGAGGUGUGUUAUUGGUGAGUGCUGGACCUGGUGUGUUAUUGGAGAGGUGUGUUAUUGGGGAGUGCUGAACCUGGUGUGUUAUUGGUGAGGUGUGUUAUUGGGGAGUGCUGGACCUGGUGUGUUAUUGGUGAGGUGUGUUAUUGGGGAGUGCUGAACCUGGUGUGUUAUUGGUGAGGUGUGUUAUUGGUGAGGUGUGUUAUUGGGGAGUGC